Molecule: non-coding RNA, 1067 nt
Organism: Anas platyrhynchos (mallard)
Lineage: Eukaryota; Metazoa; Chordata; Aves; Anseriformes; Anatidae
Source: RefSeq, a predicted model, not a curated record
AGUUCUUUCCAACCCCAUGAGAACAACAGCAGAGCUCCCUGCAGUGGGAUGACCUUCAAAACUGACUUGAGACCAUUUGAGUGACUGAUGGGGAACCUGUAAUUGCACGUGGAGUGUCUCUAGCUCCUGCAUACACCAGGCUGCAGCAGAGGCAGGGCAUUCAUUGCUCUUCCCUGCCUCCCACCUGGCAGACUUCCCUCCCAGCCCUUACCCUAGUCUGCAGUGAGCUCUGCUUGUUGCUGAAGACAGCAAGACAUGGCUGAAACUGCUGAAACUGCUGCCAAUUGUUUAGCACGGCUUUCCAGCACCCCUUGGAUGUUCAUGGUGAGAGAAAUUCCCUGGCUUGUUUCCCCUGCUGUCUGUAUAUCAUCCUAGCAGCCGGAGAACCAGUUUGCUUUGAUUUGGGAGUCCAUUACACCAUGAUAAUAUGAUUGCUUCAAGGAACAUGUUCUGAACAAGAGUAAGGGAUUUAAGAAACUGAAGACAGAAAGUAUCCACAGAAUCAUGGAGAAGCAUGUGGAAUACAAACACAGGAAGGAGACAAGAAGAUCUGGAUAACGGUAAAGCAACACAUAUGGGAAGUCUGCUUGAGAAGAACAAACACAAAUGCCAAAAAUAAUUCACUAGCUACAUUUAGUUAGAAGAUCUGGAGAGCAAACAUAAGCAUCCUAAACAAAUGAAGUAGGUUAGCCAGAGUGUCUACCGGCCCCAGGGUCACAUACUGCUGCUCUAACUGCCAGCAGUGUCCAUGUGGAAUGGGGAGCUUUCCAAAUUCUGGCCAGAAGUGGCUGUGUAGAGAAUACUGUCUGUUCUCUUGCCUUUUUAUGAAAUGUAUACUGAAAUGCAAAGCCAUGUCAGAAAAAACUGAGCUUGUGUAUCUGCACAGCAAGUGCUAUGAUGUGCAAAAUUGCUUGUUUAUGCUCUAGAAGCAAAACCAUAGUGUUAGUUUGCUCCUGUACAUGAACAUGUUUUCACAUCACCCACACUUUUGUUUUAUUUUAAAUGUAUAUAUAUUUUCAUUUAAGCGUAUAGAAAGAGUGCUAAAACAGGCUUAUGAGGUGUCCUUA